CAGCCAUAUAACAUUGAAACACAGGUUCCCAUACGCUCACCGAAGUUAAGCACCGUCGAGCCUGGUCAGUACCUAGAUGGGUGACAGCUUGGGAAUACUUCACUGGUG
Molecule: non-coding RNA, 108 nt
Organism: Acanthosepion pharaonis
Lineage: Eukaryota; Metazoa; Mollusca; Cephalopoda; Sepiida; Sepiidae
Source: the annotation of a GenBank genome assembly